GAUAGCUCAGUUGGUUAGAGCACCUGACUGUUAAUCAGGGGGUCCUAGGUUCAAGUCCUAG
This 61-nucleotide transfer RNA is filed under the name Rikenella microfusus. It matches the Rfam family "tRNA", at positions 8 to 63 of the family's 71-position model. Rfam says of the family: Transfer RNA (tRNA) molecules are approximately 80 nucleotides in length. Their secondary structure includes four short double-helical elements and three loops (D, anti-codon, and T loops). Lineage: Bacteria; Pseudomonadati; Bacteroidota; Bacteroidia; Bacteroidales; Rikenellaceae. The record is from RNAcentral.